CAUUAAAUCAGUUAUCGUUUAUUUGAUAGUACCUUACUACAUGGAUACCUGUGGUAAUUCUAGAGCUAAUACAUGCUAAAAACCCCGACUUCAGGAAGGGGUGUAUUUAUUAGAUAAAAAACCAACGCCCUUCGGGGCUCCUUGGUGAAUCAUAAUAACUUAACGAAUCGCAUGGCCUUGCGCCGGCGAUGGUUCAUUCAAAUUUCUGCCCUAUCAACUUUCGAUGGUAGGAUAGUGGCCUACCAUGGUGGCAACGGGUAACGGGGAAUUAGGGUUCGAUUCCGGAGAGGGAGCCUGAGAAACGGCUACCACAUCCAAGGAAGGCAGCAGGCGCGCAAAUUACCCAAUCCCGAUACGGGGAGGUAGUGACAAUAAAUACUGAUACGGGGCUCUUUUGGGUCUCGUAAUUGGAAUGAGAACAAUUUAAAUCCCUUAACGAGGAACAAUUGGAGGGCAAGUCUGGUGCCAGCAGCCGCGGUAAUUCCAGCUCCAAUAGCGUAUAUUAAAGUUGUUGCAGUUAAAAAGCUCGUAGUUGAACCUUGGGUCUGGCUGGCCGGUCCGCCUCACCGCGAGUACUGGUCCGGCUGGACCUUUCCUUCUGGGGAACCUCAUGGCCUUCACUGGCUGUGGGGGGAACCAGGACUUUUACUGUGAAAAAAUUAGAGUGUUCAAAGCAGGCCUUUGCUCGAAUACAUUAGCAUGGAAUAAUAGAAUAGGACGUGUGGUUCUAUUUUGUUGGUUUCUAGGACCGCCGUAAUGAUUAAUAGGGAUAGUCGGGGGCGUCAGUAUUCAGCUGUCAGAGGUGAAAUUCUUGGAUUUGCUGAAGACUAACUACUGCGAAAGCAUUCGCCAAGGAUGUUUUCAUUAAUCAGGGAACGAAAGUUAGGGGAUCGAAGACGAUCAGAUACCGUCGUAGUCUUAACCAUAAACUAUGCCGACUAGGGA
This 945-nucleotide ribosomal RNA is filed under the name Penicillium sp. RNAcentral describes it as "SSU rRNA". It matches the Rfam family "Eukaryotic small subunit ribosomal RNA", at positions 99 to 1052 of the family's 1831-position model. Lineage: Eukaryota; Fungi; Ascomycota; Eurotiomycetes; Eurotiales; Aspergillaceae. The record is from RNAcentral.